RNAcentral lists this long non-coding RNA (479 nucleotides) under Zea mays. RNAcentral's name for it is "long non-coding RNA (ZMAY_LNC003972)". Lineage: Eukaryota; Viridiplantae; Streptophyta; Magnoliopsida; Poales; Poaceae. The record is from RNAcentral.
AAGUAUGGAACGCUGUGGAUUCAUAUUGGCAAACUCCCACCACCGCCUUACGGGAUAUUGGUGACCCUGCUAAAGACCUUCGGGUCACAAGCUCCUUAUCACGGUUCUGGGCAAAUGGAGGAGAUGACGAUGAAUGUGAUAUAGAUCAGGAUUCCGGUGUCUAUCCCUCUGCACUCACGGACAACCGGCUGGCAAAUAAGACGGCUUUUACUGUGGAACAGCUUGUCCAGAAAAUCGAGGGACUACCUGAUCAGAAGUUUCAGGAGCAGGCCACUGUAAUUGACACAUAUAAAAAAGAGGUCAAUAAUUUUUUAGCUUUUGACCAGACGGUUCCUCCAAGUAGCAAGUUAAAGCCGUGGCAUGGGCCAUUACCUCCAAAAAGAAUCUCUCCGUCACUAACGCUAGCAGACUGUCCUGUUUUGACAGAUCUGAGGCAUAAGAAAAAGGGACAUCGGAGACUCAGAGAUCUUGGAGGCGCC